Trichonephila clavipes is the source of this 106-nucleotide non-coding RNA. The record is from the annotation of a GenBank genome assembly. Lineage: Eukaryota; Metazoa; Arthropoda; Arachnida; Araneae; Nephilidae.
UCAUUCCGUGCUGAAUAUACCAGUUCUUUUCUGAUCACUGAAGUUAAGCAUCAUGGGGCAUGGUCUGUACUUAGGAGGCCGAUCAUCUGGGAACACCGAGUGCCGU